RNAcentral lists this long non-coding RNA (204 nucleotides) under Hordeum vulgare. RNAcentral describes it as "long non-coding RNA (HVUL_LNC006492)". The record is from RNAcentral. Lineage: Eukaryota; Viridiplantae; Streptophyta; Magnoliopsida; Poales; Poaceae.
AAGCCUCCGGCAUGACGAACGACGCCCACGAUAACCAGGCUCAUGAUACCAAUUGUUGGCACCGCCUCCUCGCAGCGCCGCUUCUCCUUCUACCUCCCGUUGUGACUCACAACUCUCUCUUCUCUCAAGAGCACAAGAACACACACACACGCACGCACACAACCAAAGAAGAUGACCAAGGGCUUUGCCCAGAAGACUUCCUUG